Molecule: non-coding RNA, 562 nt
Filed under: Pongo abelii (Sumatran orangutan)
Lineage: Eukaryota; Metazoa; Chordata; Mammalia; Primates; Hominidae
Source: RNAcentral
UUUUCAUUCCCGUUGUCAUGGAGAUUGCGUACCCACUGCAGAGGGCUGAAGACGGGGUAGCCACGAGGUUGCAAAUUCGUGAAGAAUCAGCAGCAUGUUUGGCAGCUGAGUAUUGGAGCCAGGAGCCUGCCAUGAGGUUUUGAGAACAGGGUGCUGUUUUAGAGCUGGCAGCAGCAUCUCAGCCCAAGAGAAGGUAAGCCUUGAGCUGGCCAAUGAUCCCCCAACCCCAUAGUGGAAUGAAUAAACAGCUGAUCUUGUUAAAACUUGCUUCAAAAAUAAGAUAUCAAAUGAUGAAAUCACCCAAAAUAGCUGGAAUUACCGGCAGAUUGUGUAGUGGUGAACCUACGGUUUUCUGAAGAUAUCUCUUACCCUGUGAUUGACUGUCAGUUGGUGCAGAAAGUGAGAUUGAAAUGUAGUUUCUUUGCAGGUUAUAUUCCCAGAGGAUGUCAGUCCCAAGGACCAGUAGCUGCCAUCAGUUUGGAUUCUGAAAACUAACCGGCAUCAACAUUGGGUGUAGAAACAUGCUUGCCUUGUGUAUCAGAGGACAUGCUCAGCAGAUCCA